RNAcentral lists this ribosomal RNA (519 nucleotides) under uncultured eukaryote. Its description in RNAcentral is "SSU rRNA". It matches the Rfam family "Eukaryotic small subunit ribosomal RNA", at positions 1161 to 1699 of the family's 1831-position model. The record is from RNAcentral.
AGGGCACCACCAGGAGUGGGGCCUGCGGCUUAAUUUGACUCAACACGGGGAAACUUACCCGGCCUGGACACUGGAAGGAUUGACAGAUUGAGAGCUCUUUCUUGAUUCAGUGGGUGGUGGUGCAUGGCCGUUCUUAGUUGGUGGAGCGAUUUGUCUGGUUAAUUCCGAUAACGAACGAGACUCUAGCCUAUUAAAUAGGCUCUCGGCUUUUAAACGCCGGGAGGACUUCUUAGAGGGACAGGUGGCGGUUCAGCCGCACGAAAGAGAGCAAUAACAGGUCUGUGAUGCCCUUUGUUGUCCGGGGCCGCACGCGCGCUACACUGAAGAGAUCAGCGUGCUUUGCGUUCCUGCUCCGACCGGAGUGGGGAACCCAGUGAACCUUCUUCGUGAUUGGGAUAGAAGAUUGUAAUUAUUCUUCUUGAACGAGGAAUUCCCAGUAAAUGCGAGUCAUAAGCUCGCGUUGAUUACAUCCCUGCCCUUUGUACACACCGCCCGUCGCUACUACCGAUUGAACGAUUU